RNAcentral lists this ribosomal RNA (427 nucleotides) under uncultured Acinetobacter sp. Its description in RNAcentral is "bacterial SSU rRNA". It matches the Rfam family "Bacterial small subunit ribosomal RNA", at positions 356 to 774 of the family's 1533-position model. Lineage: Bacteria; Pseudomonadati; Pseudomonadota; Gammaproteobacteria; Moraxellales; Moraxellaceae. The record is from RNAcentral.
GGGGAAUAUUGGACAUUGGGGGGAACCCUGAUCCAGCCAUGCCGCGUGUGUGAAGAAGGCCUUAUGGUUGUAAAGCACUUUAAGCGAGGAGGAGGCUCGUUUGGUUAAUACCCAAGAUUAGUGGACGUUACUCGCAGAAUAAGCACCGGCUAACUCUGUGCCAGCAGCCGCGGUAAUACAGAGGGUGCGAGCGUUAAUCGGAUUUACUGGGCGUAAAGCGUGCGUAGGCGGCUUUUUAAGUCGGAUGUGAAAUCCCCGAGCUUAACUUGGGAAUUGCAUUCGAUACUGGGAAGCUAGAGUAUGGGAGAGGAUGGUAGAAUUCCAGGUGUAGCGGUGAAAUGCGUAGAGAUCUGGAGGAAUACCGAUGGCGAAGGCAAUCCCCUGGACCUGUACUGACGCUCAUGCACGAAAGCGUGGGGAGCAAACA